RNAcentral lists this ribosomal RNA (244 nucleotides) under uncultured Staphylococcus sp. RNAcentral describes it as "partial 16S ribosomal RNA". It matches the Rfam family "Bacterial small subunit ribosomal RNA", at positions 96 to 334 of the family's 1533-position model. Lineage: Bacteria; Bacillati; Bacillota; Bacilli; Caryophanales; Staphylococcaceae. The record is from RNAcentral.
CGGCGGACGGGUGAGUAACACGUGGAUAACCUACCUAUAAGACUGGGAUAACUUCGGGAAACCGGAGCUAAUACCGGAUAAUAUAUUGAACCGCAUGGUUCAAUAGUGAAAGACGGUUUUGCUGUCACUUAUAGAUGGAUCCGCGCCGCAUUAGCUAGUUGGUAAGGUAACGGCUUACCGAGGCAACGAUGCGUAGCCGACCUGAGAGGGUGAUCGGCCACACUGGAACUGAGACACGGUCCAG